GCCUACGGGGCGCAGCAGUGAGGAAUAAUGGUCAAUGGUCGGGAGACUGAACCAGCCAAGCCGCGUGAGGGAGGAAGGUACAGAGUAUCGUAAACCUCUUUUGCCAGGGAACAAAGGCGGGGACGUAUCCCCGGAUGAGUGUACCUGAAGAAAAAGCAUCGGCUAACUCCGUGCCAGCAGCCGCGGUAAUACGGAGGAUGCGAGCGUUAUCCGGAUUUAUUGGGUUUAAAGGGUGCGCAGGCGGUCUGUUAAGUCAGCGGUCAAAGCCCGGGGCUCAACCCCGGCCCGCCGUUGAAACUGGCAGU
Molecule: ribosomal RNA, 305 nt
Filed under: uncultured bacterium
Lineage: Bacteria
Description: bacterial SSU rRNA
Rfam family: Bacterial small subunit ribosomal RNA
Source: RNAcentral